GUUUAUUUGCUUCUAAUGGUUGCGUCAUAUGUUGACAGAAAUUAUUGGAGACAAGGUGCUCACCAUGCUACAUUGCGGAUAUGUUCGAAGAUCUAGAAACAAACCAGGUCCAAGCAAAGCUACAGGAGAUAGAAGCAAUGGGUUUUGGUUUCCUGAAGCUAGUCCUAAGGUGGCAUGUGAAACAAAGCAUAAUUAUUUUGUUGGCUAAGGCCUACAACACUGAAACAGGCACGCUGCCUGUUGAUCAUGGAAACAUCCGCAUUGAACCUGAGUUGUUUCAGAGUGUUUUCGAAAUCCUGCCCAGAGUUGACGACUUUCCACCGUUUGACCGAAGGAAUGCUGCUCAUAUCGCAAUUAAAAGAAGAUUUCACCCGUUGAAAACCAUACAACUUAGGCAUUUUGUCGACCACUGUGCUAUGCAUACUGCAGACGACAGGAUGGAGUUCAGGAGGCAUUUCAUCCUAUUCGUGCUGAAGAUGUUCUUGUGUAUGACAGUGCAACACGUCAUCUUGCUGUGGUACAUCGAUACAAUACUCGAUGUUUCUGAUCCCAUGAGAUAUCGUUGGCCCUUGCAUAUUUUCAACUGGUUAAAAUAGGCGAUCAAGAACUAUCAACUUAAAAACAACAAGUCAUGUUUUGUACUUCUAGAAGCUAAAGCAUGGUGAACCCGAGAAUUGUCAAGAACCUGAGUCGUGGCUUUCUGCAUGGACUGCCACAGAGCUUAGUGCUAUGGCAUCAAUUGUUCAACCAAAGUAAUGGUUGUGUCUUCUGUUUCAACCGUACAUUGAUGUGUCCUCGCUGGAUGUGUCUUAAGUUGUAUGUGCCUUCUGACUAGUUGAUGCUCCGAACAAGAUAGCAGCAACACCAGUGGGAAUGAUAGGGGCGUCGUCGAAGGUCACACGAAUAAGGUCAUGAUUCUGAAAGAGAAGACGCGCACUAGACAAAAAGACCUAUAGGGUCCACAAAAGGAUCUAAUAAGAGAGGGGGAGUUAGAAAUGGCUCAAUGCACACAGAUGCACCUGCAAUUGCAUUGGACGGGGAUGACGAUGAUGACGAGCCCAUUGCCAAAAGACUGCGUAGAAAAAUUGAUUGGACAAGAACACCUUAACCUCGUAUGAGAAAAGGGGACACCAGCACGACCAGUGAGACAAACACAACAGAGAAACCAAAAGGAUCCGACAAGAAGAGGAAGUUAGCAGCAGCUCAAUGCGCACAAAUGCACUUUUAGUUACAUCCCACGAGGAUGACGAUGACGACAAGCCCAUUGGCAAGAAACUCCACAGCAAAACGCAUCGGAGAAAAACACCUCAGCAUCAUAGGACGGAAGGGGACAUUGGCAUAACCAGCCAGCCAAAAACAACAAAGCAACCAACCGACCUGGACGAUUCUGAACCAAAAGCUCUGUCAACAGCAUUGGUAUAGUAUUCAGGAAUUGAUGAAUAUUCUAGUGAAUUUUUUGAUAGGCAAGUGAAUGCUAAAAAAUUUUGUGCAGCUAGUAUACAUAGUUUUUAUAUCGGCUCCUUAAAAUGCAUAAAGGUUGCCCACCUCACAAAGUUAUUUUUGAAAUAGAAAUCCUGACAUCUUAUCUCAGCGAGAUCCAUAGUGCAAAAAGUUAUGGGCAAAUAUCGAAUGAUGUUACGGCUCGAAACCCAUUAGUGUGGAUCCAAUUCAAACCAUUAUUCCAAAAGAUUCUUGUUGCCGUACACCCAGUCCACAGUGUCUCUCAUUCUCACUUGGGAUGACCCAGAUCUUCAAAACACCCACGCCGUCCUCCUUGGCCCGUUCAUCCGUUACUUCAGGAACGGAAACUCACUGAGUGGGAUGAACAACGAAUCAGAGGGUGGGGUGUGGACAUAUCUCUUGAUAGCCAGCAAACAGUGGCGUCGUAUGACGAUAGACCACACCUAGUCUUGGCAACGGAGGAGUUGUAUAUAUUGAGACCACAAUUUUGGCUCAAUAACAAUGUUGUGCAGUGGAUGUGUUGCGCAUUCAAUGACUCGGGGUUAAAAAGAUUUAUGCAUGACUUCUAUUGCGUGCGUCCAAAGAUACUGGAAAUGGUGUUGGUACCAAAAAAUCUGAUAGACUUUGAGGACGGACCAACUCCCAUGUAUGUGGGUUUGGGUGAACACUUUGGUGCCGACACAAGGUAUUUUGACAAGGGGAGGUUCAUUGAAGACAUAGCUCAGGUGGCCAUUCUCAUGUAUAAGCCCACUCAAAAAGGUUUGCCUUGCACAUACGCCUCUAUUCCAAUACAACCAAAUAGGUGAGUCCUCCUCAAAAUCUUGCAAUAUCUUAAUUGGUAAGUUUCAUUGAGAUGCAUACCGGUUCUCCUAAUACAGUUCGUUAUUUCCAUUCACAUAGUUUUGAUUAUGGUGUAUAUGCAAUAAAAUUCAUGGAGUAUUUGACCAAAGGCGGGAAACUGAAUGACUAUGAUUAUUUGAGUUUUCAAAUUCUAUAGUUAAAUAACUGAUUAUCUAAACGCACAUCACUGUCUGUACCUAAAUGCAGUCAUUCAACAUUGAUUUUCACAUACAGGACACCAUCAAGUUAUACAAGUUGGAAAUAAUGCUUGACAUCAUUCUGGGUCAUAAAAAUUCAACCAUUGGAGAGGCACUGAAUGCCCUUGACAGCCGUCCUCAACCUGCUGUGCGCCGCAACCAACCAAGGAACAAACAUAAAGAGGUUAGGACACCUUACAACACUUGGCAUAAAGAGCAUGCUUCAACGAGCUGCAGGAUUGCCAAAGAAAAAGCCCAUCAAAAUGAGCUAAACAUGAGAAGAAAAAAGAUGCAUAUUACAUUCCUCUUUACAUAGGCCAGAGAUACCCUCACAUGCUAAGCUAUAUUUUAUUAAAACUUGAUAUUUUUCUUGUCUUACACAUAGUGAAUGUUUGUUUUGGAUUCUUAUGUUGUUAGCGGGCACUUGUUUUGUGAACCUUGUUGACUUUGUUGGUUAAUUCAACGAGAAUGCAUGUACUGUGGAUGUGAAUUUUGUCUUUCAGAGAUUGGUUUGUCUUUUUUUCACAUGCUAAACACUUGUUACGUUUUAAAGUGUUUUUAU
Molecule: non-coding RNA, 3060 nt
Organism: Arachis ipaensis
Lineage: Eukaryota; Viridiplantae; Streptophyta; Magnoliopsida; Fabales; Fabaceae
Source: RefSeq, a predicted model, not a curated record